RNAcentral lists this ribosomal RNA (440 nucleotides) under uncultured bacterium. RNAcentral describes it as "bacterial SSU rRNA". It matches the Rfam family "Bacterial small subunit ribosomal RNA", at positions 80 to 518 of the family's 1533-position model. The record is from RNAcentral.
UUCUUUAGGCGUCGACCGGCGAAUGGGUGAGUAACGCGUAUCCAACCUGCCCCUGAGUAAGGGAUAGCCCAUCGAAAGAUGGAUUAAUACCUUAUGGUCUCCUUUGCAGACAUCUAAUUAGGAGUAAAGAUUUAUCGCUGAGGGAUGGGGAUGCGUCUGAUUAGCUUGUUGGCGGGUAACGGCCCACCAAGGCAACGAUCAGUAGGGGUUCUGAGAGGAAGGUCCCCCACAUUGGUACUGAGACACGGACCAAACUCCUACGGGAGGCAGCAGUGAGGAAUAUUGGUCAAUGGGCGCAAGCCUGAACCAGCCAAGUAGCGUGCCAGGAAGACUGCCCUAUGGGUUGUAAACUGCUUUUAUACGGGGAUAAAGUCAGGGUCGUGACCCUGUUUGCAGGUACCGUAUGAAUAAGGACCGGCUAAUUCCGUGCCAGCAGCUGC